RNAcentral lists this unclassified non-coding RNA (278 nucleotides) under uncultured fungus. RNAcentral describes it as "partial contains small subunit ribosomal RNA, internal transcribed spacer 1, and 5.8S ribosomal RNA". The stretch from base 1 to 73 matches the Rfam family "Eukaryotic small subunit ribosomal RNA", at positions 1759 to 1831 of the family's 1831-position model. The record is from RNAcentral. Lineage: Eukaryota; Fungi.
UCAAACUUGGUCAUUUAGAGGAAGUAAAAGUCGUAACAAGGUCUCCGUAGGUGAACCUGCGGAGGGAUCAUUACCGAGUGAGGGUCUCCGUGCCCGACCUCCAACCCAUUGUCCAACCCACUAUGUUGCCUCGGGGGCGACCCGGCCUUCGGGCGUCGGGCACCCCGGUGGACCACUUGUAAACCCUCGCGUCGUUGCGUCCGAGACUUAAAAGUAUAAAUGGAAUGAAAACUUUCAACAACGGAUCUCUUGGUUCUGGCAUCGAUGAAGAACGCAGC